AACGUAAAACGUCUAAUCUACACGUUUAGCCGUUGAUGUGAAACUGUGAUUAGAUGGAUAAUGGUGGGCGACUAACCGUAGUCAACUAAAUUAUUUUA
Molecule: long non-coding RNA, 98 nt
Organism: Thalassophryne amazonica
Lineage: Eukaryota; Metazoa; Chordata; Actinopteri; Batrachoidiformes; Batrachoididae
Exons: 3
Source: RefSeq, a predicted model, not a curated record